RNAcentral lists this long non-coding RNA (567 nucleotides) under Cricetulus griseus (Chinese hamster). Its description in RNAcentral is "lncRNA (ENSCGRG00015043224.1)". The record is from RNAcentral. Lineage: Eukaryota; Metazoa; Chordata; Mammalia; Rodentia; Cricetidae.
AAGCCUGGAGGCACACCAAUCAUGAGCCUGUGCGUAAGCCUGUGCGUACCCCUAGACACUCCCCUUAAGCUGCCCUAUAAGAUCUUUUGGGAGCCCGUAGGAGCCGUCUUUUCUAGCCGUCCGCCAUGGCAGAUGUGAUGAAAAAAAGGAAGCUCAUGUGGCCCCAGCACUGGGAAGACCAGGGCAAGAAGAUUCCCCUGAGUUCCAGAUCAACCCGAGAUACAGUGUGAGACCCUGCUCCCAGCCCCCUAGAAAGUGAAAAGCCUUCAUCCAGUGGCUGAUGGAAGCAGAGACAGACAGCAACAGCUAAACACUGAACUGAACUCUAGACCCAGUUGCAGAGAGGGAAGAGUGAUGAGCAAAGAGGUCAAGACCGGGCUGGUGAAACCCACAGAAACAGCUGACCUGAACAAGGGAGAGCACAUGGACCCCAGACUUACGGCUGGGAGGCCAGCAUGGGACUGAUCCAGACCCCUGAACAUGGAUGUCAGUGAGGAGGCCUUGGCACUCUAUGGGGCCUCUGGUAGUAGGAGGAUUACUAGGAGUUCAAGGCCAGCAGCAUGAGCU